UUCAGCCCUUUCUAUAUAGUGCAAGUCGAGCGGACCGAAGGGAGCUUGCUCCUUUAGGUUAGCGGCGGACGGGUGAGUAACACGUGGGCAACCUGCCCUGCAGACUGGGAUAACUUCGGGAAACCGGAGCUAAUACCGGAUAACACCGAAAACCGCAUGGUUUUCGGUUGAAAGGCGGCUUUUAGCUGUCACUGCAGGAUGGGCCCGCGGCGCAUUAGCUAGUUGGUGAGGUAACGGCUCACCAAGGCGACGAUGCGUAGCCGACCUGAGAGGGUGACCGGCCACACUGGGACUGAGACACGGCCCAGACUCCUACGGGAGGCAGCAGUAGGGAAUCUUCCGCAAUGGACGAAAGUCUGACGGAGCAACGCCGCGUGAGCGAAGAAGGUCUUCGGAUCGUAAAGCUCUGUUGUCAGGGAAGAACAAGUGCCGUUCGAACAGGGCGGUACCUUGACGGUACCUGACGAGGAAGCCACGGCUAACUACGUGCCAGCAGCCGCGGUAAUACGUAGGUGGCAAGCGUUGUCCGGAAUUAUUGGGCGUAAAGCGCGCGCAGGCGGUUCCUUAAGUCUGAUGUGAAAUCUCGCGGCUCAACCGCGAGCGGCCAUUGGAAACUGGGGAACUUGAGUGCAGGAGAGGGGAGCGGAAUUCCACGUGUAGCGGUGAAAUGCGUAGAGAUGUGGAGGAACACCAGUGGCGAAGGCGGCUCUCUGGCCUGUAACUGACGCUGAGGCGCGAAAGCGUGGGGAGCGAACAGGAUUAGAUACCCUGGUAGUCCACGCCGUAAACGAUGAGUGCUAAGUGUUAGAGGGUAUCCACCCUUUAUGCUGCAGCAGACGCAUUAGCACUCCGCCUGGGGGAGUACGGCCGGCAAGGCUGAAACUCAAUGAUGACGGGACCCGCACAGCGGUGGAGCAUGUAGUUAUUCGAGCACGCCGAAAGACCGUUACAGGUCUGUGGACAUUGCCGCUUGAG
This 975-nucleotide ribosomal RNA is filed under the name Aeribacillus alveayuensis. RNAcentral describes it as "bacterial SSU rRNA". It matches the Rfam family "Bacterial small subunit ribosomal RNA", at positions 38 to 998 of the family's 1533-position model. Lineage: Bacteria; Bacillati; Bacillota; Bacilli; Caryophanales; Bacillaceae. The record is from RNAcentral.